Accipiter nisus (Eurasian sparrowhawk) is the source of this 132-nucleotide small nucleolar RNA. NCBI's taxonomy places the organism in Eukaryota, Metazoa, Chordata, Aves, Accipitriformes, Accipitridae. The record is from Ensembl.
CUGCACAGUGAACACCCAAGUGUGCUUUGUAGUUCCCUUGGUUUCAAUUCUGUGCUAGAAUAAUCUGUACUUUUCCUCUGCAUUGAAGGGAUUUGCAUUCCUUUUAUAUGUAUUCAGAAGGACAGUACAUUU